UACGAAGGGGGGCUAGCGUUGCUCGGAAUUAUUGGGCGUAAAGCGCACGUAGGCGGUUCGUUAAGUCGGAUGUGAAAGCCCUCGGCUCAACUGAGGAAGUGCACCCGAAACUGGCGAGCUUGAGUACGAAAGAGGAUCGCGGAAUUCCCGGUGUAGAGGUGAAAUUCGUAGAUAUCGGGAGGAACACCGGUGGCGAAGGCGGCGAUCUGGGCAGAUACUGACGCUGAGGUGCGAAAGCGUGGGGAGCAAACAGG
This 254-nucleotide ribosomal RNA is filed under the name uncultured bacterium. Its description in RNAcentral is "partial 16S ribosomal RNA". It matches the Rfam family "Bacterial small subunit ribosomal RNA", at positions 524 to 776 of the family's 1533-position model. The record is from RNAcentral.